GGCAUUUCCUUUCCUCUUUAUAUUGAACAUUCUCUCUGUGAUUCAUUUAUUAACAUCUCUUCCUUAUUUUUCUUCGUCAACGAGAUCUUUUUCCAUUAUUUUCCUUUUGUUUCCUGGGAAAACUAGAAGACAACCUCCAAACUCGCUACUUUAAUUUCCUUUUAUCUCAGGUGUAUAUAUAUGUCAUCUUUGCAAUUUACUGAGUCAUAUGUGAAGCAUACUGGUAUAGUUUCAAGUGUUGGAGAACUUGUAUAAGGGAGGGAUUCUAAUGAUAAACGGGCGAUUAACAAAUUGAUCCAAAGAGAUAAGGGCACCAUUGAACGUCAUCAGCAAGAUUUGUUCAUAAAGGGCAGAGUCAUCAUGCUAGAUUUUGUUGUUUUUGCACCAUGGUAGCGAGCAUUUUUAUAUACCUUGUGAGUACGGAUACAACAUCACAGCUCACAGUUUUUAACAAGAAGAGUUUCCCUCUUAUGAAGAGCUAUUAG
RNAcentral lists this unclassified non-coding RNA (485 nucleotides) under Hevea brasiliensis (rubber tree). The record is from RNAcentral. Lineage: Eukaryota; Viridiplantae; Streptophyta; Magnoliopsida; Malpighiales; Euphorbiaceae.